GGCCUAACACAUGCAAGUCGAACGGUAAGGCCCCUUCGGGGGUACACGAGUGGCGAACGGGUGAGUAACACGUGAGCAACCUGCCCUUGACAUUGGAAUAACAGUUGGAAACAGCUGCUAAUACCGGGUAUGACCUCUUAUCGCAUGGUGGGGGGUGGAAAGCCUUGGCGGUCAAGGAUGGGCUCGCGGCCUAUCAGCUAGUUGGUGAGGUAAUGGCUCACCAAGGCUUCGACGGGUAGCCGGCCUGAGAGGGCGACCGGCCACACUGGGACUGAGAUACGGCCCAGACUCCUACGGGAGGCAGCAGUGGGGAAUAUUGCACAAUGGGCGAAAGCCUGAUGCAGCAACGCCGCGUGCGGGAUGACGGCCUUCGGGUUGUAAACCGCUUUCAGUAGGGACGAAGCUAACGUGACGGUACCUACAGAAGAAGCACCGGCCAACUACGUGCCAGCAGCCGCGGUGAUACGUAGGGUGCGAGCGUUGUCCGGAAUUAUUGGGCGUAAAGGGAUUGUAGGCGGUCCGUCGCGUCGAAAGUGAAAACUCAGGGCUUAACCCUGAGCCUGCUUUCGAUACGGGCGGACUAGAGGUAUGCAGGGGAGAACGGAAUUCCUGGUGGAGCGGUGGAAUGCGCAGAUAUCAGGAGGAACACCGGUGGCGAAGGCGGUUCUCUGGGCAUUACCUGACGCUGAGAAUCGAAAGCGUGGGGAGCAAACAGGCUUAGAUACCCUGGUAGUCCACGCCGUAAACGGUGGGCACUAGGUGUGGGGGACAUUCCACGUUCUCCGUGCCGAAGCUAACGCAUUAAGUGCCCCGCCUGGGGAGUACGGCCGCAAGGCUAAAACUCAAAGGAAUUGACGGGGGCCCGCACAAGCGGCGGAGCAUGCGGAUUAAUUCGAUGCAACGCG
Molecule: ribosomal RNA, 905 nt
Filed under: uncultured Friedmanniella sp.
Lineage: Bacteria; Bacillati; Actinomycetota; Actinomycetes; Propionibacteriales; Nocardioidaceae
Description: bacterial SSU rRNA
Rfam family: Bacterial small subunit ribosomal RNA
Source: RNAcentral